This 580-nucleotide ribosomal RNA is filed under the name uncultured eukaryote. RNAcentral's name for it is "eukaryotic LSU rRNA". The stretch from base 186 to 339 matches the Rfam family "5.8S ribosomal RNA". The record is from RNAcentral.
UCGUAACAAGGUCUCCGUUGGUGAACCAGCGGAGGGAUCAUUAUCGAGUUAUUCAACUCCCAAACCCUAUGUGAACUUACCACUUGUUGCUUCGGCGCGCGCUUCGGCGCCGCCGAGGACACUUAAACUCUUUGUUUUUAUAAGCAUUUCUGAGUGGCCGAAAGGCAAAAAUACAAAUGAAUCAAAACUUUCAACAACGGAUCUCUUGGUUCUGGCAUCGAUGAAGAACGCAGCGAAAUGCGAUAAGUAAUGUGAAUUGCAGAAUUCAGUGAAUCAUCGAAUCUUUGAACGCACAUUGCGCCCGCCAGCAUUCUGGCGGGCAUGCCUGUUCGAGCGUCAUUUCAACCCUCGAGCCCGACUCUUUUGAGGACGGCUCGGCGUUGGGGGACGGCAGACUCCCCCCGGCAUCUCGCCGGGGACGCCGCCCCCGAAAUCUAGUGGCGGCCCUCCGAGGCGACCUCUGCGUAGUAACUUGUUCUCGCACCGGAAAGCUCAGAGCGGCCACGCCGUAAAACCCCAACUUUUUUCAGGUUGACCUCGAAUCAGGUAGGACUACCCGCUGAACUUAAGCAUAUCAAUA